GGUGCUGCGUGGCUGUCGUCAGCUCGUGUCGUGAGAUGUUGGGUUAAGUCCCGCAACGAGCGCAACCCUUGCCUUUAGUUGCCAGCAGUUCGGCUGGGCACUCUAAAGGGACUGCCGGUGUUAAACCGGAGGAAGUGGGGAUGACGUCAAGUCCUCAUGGCCUUUAUGACCAGGGCUACACACGUACUACAAUGGCCGAUACAAAGGGCAGCGACACUGCGAGGUGAAGCCAAUCCCGUAAAAUCGGUCUCAGUCCGGAUUGGAGUCUGCAACUCGACUCCAUGAAGUUGGAAUCGCUAGUAAUCGUGGAUCAGCAUGCCACGGUGAAUACGUUCCCGGGCCUU
This 344-nucleotide ribosomal RNA is filed under the name uncultured Desulfobulbus sp. RNAcentral's name for it is "bacterial SSU rRNA". It matches the Rfam family "Bacterial small subunit ribosomal RNA", at positions 1037 to 1382 of the family's 1533-position model. Lineage: Bacteria; Pseudomonadati; Thermodesulfobacteriota; Desulfobulbia; Desulfobulbales; Desulfobulbaceae. The record is from RNAcentral.